This 1051-nucleotide ribosomal RNA is filed under the name Leuconostoc mesenteroides. RNAcentral's name for it is "bacterial SSU rRNA". It matches the Rfam family "Bacterial small subunit ribosomal RNA", at positions 434 to 1486 of the family's 1533-position model. Lineage: Bacteria; Bacillati; Bacillota; Bacilli; Lactobacillales; Lactobacillaceae. The record is from RNAcentral.
UGUUGUGGGAAGAACAGCAAUAGGAAAUGAUUUUAGUUUGCGGUACCAUACCAGAAAGGGACGGCUAAAUACGUGCCAGCAGCCGCGGUAAUACGUAUCCCGAGCGUUAUCCGGAUUUAUUGGGCGUAAAGCGAGCGCAGACGGUNUAUUAAGUCUGAUGUGAAAGCCCGGAGCUCAACUCCGGAAUGGCAUUGGAAACUGGUUAACUUGAGUGCAGUAGAGGUAAGUGGAACUCCAUGUGUAGCGGUGGAAUGCGUAGAUAUAUGGAAGAACACCAGUGGCGAAGGCGGCUUACUGGACUGCAACUGACGUUGAGGCUCGAAAGUGUGGGUAGCAAACAGGAUUAGAUACCCUGGUAGUCCACACCGUAAACGAUGAACACUAGGUGUUAGGAGGUUUCCGCCUCUUAGUGCCGAAGCUAACGCAUUAAGUGUUCCGCCUGGGGAGUACGACCGCAAGGUUGAAACUCAAAGGAAUUGACGGGGACCCGCACAAGCGGUGGAGCAUGUGGUUUAAUUCGAAGCAACGCGAAGAACCUUACCAGGUCUUGACAUCCUUUGAAGCUUUUAGAGAUAGAAGUGUUCUCUUCGGAGACAAAGUGACAGGUGGUGCAUGGUCGUCGUCAGCUCGUGUCGUGAGAUGUUGGGUUAAGUCCCGCAACGAGCGCAACCCUUAUUGUUAGUUGCCAGCAUUCAGAUGGGCACUCUAGCGAGACUGCCGGUGACAAACCGGAGGAAGGCGGGGACGACGUCAGAUCAUCAUGCCCCUUAUGACCUGGGCUACACACGUGCUACAAUGGCGUAUACAACGAGUUGCCAGCCCGCGAGGGUGAGCUAAUCUCUUAAAGUACGUCUCAGUUCGGAUUGUAGUCUGCAACUCGACUACAUGAAGUCGGAAUCGCUAGUAAUCGCGGAUCAGCACGCCGCGGUGAAUACGUUCCCGGGUCUUGUACACACCGCCCGUCACACCAUGGGAGUUUGUAAUGCCCAAAGCCGGUGGCCUAACCUUUUAGGAAGGAGCCGUCUAAGGCAGGACAGAUGACUGGGGAAGU